This is a long non-coding RNA of Canis lupus familiaris (dog), 1520 nucleotides long. RefSeq lists it as uncharacterized. The transcript has 4 exons. The record is from RefSeq and is a predicted model, not a curated record. Lineage: Eukaryota; Metazoa; Chordata; Mammalia; Carnivora; Canidae.
CCCAGAAGUCACAAAGCAUCAUUUCCACCAUAUUCUGUGGUCAAAGCAAGCACAAGCCACAGAGAGGACAUGAACCCCACCUCUUGAUGUCAGAGUAGCUGAUCACAUUGUAAAAGGACAUAGGGGAUGGGAGAAAUUUUUGCAGGCACCUUUGGAAACUCACAAAGACUAUGAAAUUCUGCAGCAGCCACCAACAGUGACCUUGAGGAAGUUGAACUUCUCUGAGCCCCAGUCUCUUACUGUAGAGUUUUCAAGAGGAUUGAAUGAGAAACACUUGAUGUGAACCUGACACGGAGUUCAGUAAAGGAUAACUAUGAUCAUUGUAACAUCACAGAGUUCAAAUACAGGUCGUUAUGUACCUGUAUUUUCUUUCUUUCUCUUCAGGAGGACUUCAGCAGCAAAUUAAGAUAGCAAUUAUUUGAUUACAUUACAUCUGGUUGUUUGGAAGAAAACUUGUUUUCCCAUAAAAGGAAGCAAAUUACCAAGGCAAAUCACAGACCAUAAACAAUAUGAAAAUAUAGCUAUGAUAAAAAGUGUUCCUGCUGUUUUUAUAUAGAAGAAUAUGGCUGAUAUGAGUUUCUUCUUCUAGGUCCAAAACAUGCCGAUGUGUAAGUUGAACUAAAAGAGCCUCGAGGUGACAUACCUGGCUAAUGAUGAGACAAGCUAAUAAGAUGGCUUGACCCUGGCUUAAUCCUCACCACACUGCCAAGAGAGGCUUCCUUGUUCCUCUUUUACACAUGGGUGUUCUGAGGUGUAAAGAGGGUGAACCCCUGGAACUGCAUGAAGUCUCUGGUGCAUAGUAGGUGUUCAAUAAAUAUGUCUGGAAGAAUUAUAUGGGCCAACCAUUGAAGAGAUGUCUAGGAACCUAAGACACACAAAAGCAAAGGGCAUACCAAGGUCACAGUGCCUGGCAUUUACUCACAGCCAGAAGGCAGGGAACAGAAUUAUGUGUAAGUAACUUAGGCUAGACCUAAAUCUGCCUGUUAAUGAAGGCUGUUCUGAUGAACGGAUGUCAAGAUGUGUUAGACAACAAAAUUACACUUCACUAUAUGCCUUGACUGUGUGGAAGGAUGCAGAUGAAAGAAGGUUUGAAGGGCCAGCAGUUUCUAAUCAAUGGUGGCUAUGCACUCUGUGAAUCACUUCCCUGACACAUUGUGGAAAAGUACUAGAAAACCAUCAGCAUGAGGAUGUUGUGAGUCAGGAUAUCAGAUCUUUGCAUACAGAUACGAUAUUUCCUACCCAUCUUAAUGGACAGACAAUCCUACCAAAACAAAGAGAAGUACUUUUUAUAAAACAGGUCCUUAGUAAGUGGGAAACAAUCAGAUCUUUUCAGACAAAUAUUUUACAUUAUUGAGCAUCCAAAUGACUAAAAAGGCCCUUUAUGCCAUUGAAGGUAUCACACGUUAUAUCAUUAGUCAUUACUGCUCCAUGCCACAGGAGUGUCUUCUCCAGAAGAGCCAAGCAAACUGCUCAUUUUUUAAAAAAUGAAAUCCAGCCUAUAUUUUAAAUAUUUUUUAAAG